AUUGAACGCUAGCGGGAUGCCUUACACAUGCAAGUCGAACGGAGAGACCAACGGGCGAGUAAUGUAUCGGAACGUGCCCAGUAGCUGGGGAUAACUCCGUGAUAGCGUAGCUAAUACCGCCUACUUUUGGAGCGGUUGCUAUGGGAUUAGCUAGAGGGUGGGGUAACGGCUCACCACGUCGACGAUCCGUAGCUGGCUUGAGAGGACGACCAGCCACACUGGAGCUGAGACACGGCCCAGACUCCUACGUGAGGCAGCAGUGGGGAAUUUUGGACAAUGGGGGAAACCCUGAUGCAGCCAGCCCGCGUGGGCGAUGAAGGCUUUCGGGUUGUAAAGCACUUUUGGCAGGAAAGCGUUACCUGCAGAAUAAGCACCGGCUAACUACGUGCCAGCAGCCGCGGUAAUUC
RNAcentral lists this ribosomal RNA (407 nucleotides) under uncultured bacterium. Its description in RNAcentral is "partial 16S ribosomal RNA". It matches the Rfam family "Bacterial small subunit ribosomal RNA", at positions 30 to 526 of the family's 1533-position model. The record is from RNAcentral.